This 214-nucleotide unclassified non-coding RNA is filed under the name Hevea brasiliensis (rubber tree). Lineage: Eukaryota; Viridiplantae; Streptophyta; Magnoliopsida; Malpighiales; Euphorbiaceae. The record is from RNAcentral.
GUAAAGAUGCAUGAUGGCUACGAAGAUUCAGGGGUGAUAUCUGUUGACUGAAAAUCUCAUAGGAUGUGGUUUUUAAGUUCAGUAGUGCUCAAUUCAGCCAUACACAUGUAGGCUAAAGCAACGUCCACUAAUCAUUCACGUCUUUAUGCUUGUUGGAAAUAUGAUUAUGAUAUUCUGGUUUCUCUCAUCCUGAAGGUGUGUUACCACUUGUCAA